ACGACUGCAUCGCUGGUGCGCGCAGACACAGACUGUAGUGCGUGGCGAAUGAAGAGAGGAGAAAGGGCCGUCACACUCUCCCUCCCUCGUACCGCUCUGGCUUCUGGGCAGCGUGCAAGGCACCCAUGCACCCACACACGCACAAAUUUCAGCAACGCCCUUCCGUUGCCGCUGUUGUAACGGCCGCCACCCUACAGCCUCUGCUUUUCCAACGCUGUGUGGCUGUUUCGUCGCGAGGGAGAGGUGAGUGGGGGACGCCCACCACCAGCGAUACCGCGAAGAGCAUGCAGCGCAGCAUCUCUCUUGCACCGCUUUCACUUCCUCCCUCAUCCUGCGCUUAUCGAGUGCGCGUGUACCGUGACGCACAGUUCCCUCACUCAGUGCUCGGCGGGACACGAUGCGCGACGAAGUCCGUGAUGAUGGCCUACAUGCAACGCCGCCGUCGAGCAGUUGUGACAGCCACAAUGGCAGUCAUGUCCUCCAUGACCCAGAGCUGCUUGACUUGAUGGAGGCUGCGGAGGAUACGGCGCUGUUCUUCCGCGUUCGAUCCGACUACAGCGAGGCACCGCCUUCCAACAAUGAAAUCGCUUUUAGCAUGUCAGAGCAAAAGCCCACCGCCGCGAGCACAGACGGCCCGGCAACCGUCGAUAUACCUGCCGCAGCGUCGCUGCCUUGCCUGCCCACUUCGCUCCUCGUUGGCGGAUCGCUGUUUGUGCGUGAGACUCCGGUGCCGUCGCCCGCUGCCAUAGCGCACGGCAAGACGUCAUCUCCCUUCGGAGCGGCGGGUGUCCCAGCUGGCUCGGUCCUCUGCCCUUUCACGCGCGGCUUUGUCUCCAUGUGCUCGCCACACUGGGGCCACCUGUGCGCUGUCGGUUUCAGAGUUCGUAUGUCGCUGCACGGUGGCAGGCGUGUGGUGCUACAGAAGCCGCACCUACUGCUAGCCCGCGCACGUCAGCUGCAGGAUUGCACCAUGCAAGACAGCCUCAGGAUACCCAGCAAGUCGACGCAGCCUCACAGCGCCAGCUCUGCGAAGACGCUCAAGGGCUCUAGGUGCACGGAGACGAGAAAGAGGCGUCCAGCAGCGCUUUUCCAGAUGUGGGGCUGGAGCCCGCACCUGCAGCAGACUCUCGGCGCCACAUUGUGCUCGGCCCCACUGGAGAGCGUGGCCGCCUUCCGUGCUGCGGUAGAGGCAAAUAUGCUCACUGGAGGCUUCUGUAAAGGCGCACAACUCAUACCAGUCGCGGGGGCUCGUGGCAGUCGUGCGGUGAUGCCAGCUCCUUUCAGCUUAGGGCAGCGCACCACGUCCGUGAGAGAUGGAACCCGAGAAGGACAGGCAGCGGCGCGCUGCCCGUGGAACACCCGAUGCCGCGUCCUGCAGCCCCCCUCCUCCUUGAGGCUGGGCUGCUCGUCUACAAGCGCGGCCGCGUCGUGGGUCACCGCGUCGGCAUCUGAGCCGAUGGGAUCGCCGCCGAAACUCCCGCAUCCGUGGCAUGCGUGGACAGAAGCCCACACGGACCGCCCCACGUUGCGGCUAUUCGGCCUACCCGCCUCGGUGCGCGCUGCUUUUCUCGACGUUCCUUUCCCCUCGCCCUCCACAUCCUCGUCGUCGCCGACUCCAGCAGCGCUGAUGGAGGCCGCCUGCGGUGCCGCGCUGUCCCAGCUGGCGGGGCAGGUGCAAGAUGCGGUGGAGCAGGGCCAGCUUGCCGCGACGUCGCGACUAUACUUCUGCCCCCUCGCCCAUGCCGUGGACUACAGUGGCACUCUUGACUUGCGUGCGUUUUCUGUGGAGUGGGGCCGGCGGCACUGCGACGGCGGUGGCGCAUCCGCUGCGCCGCGAAUAACAGCGGUACUCAGUGACUCGUGCCCUGUGCUAUCGCUCGGAGCGGAGCUGCCCAUAGGCGAUGAUGCUGAUCCUCCUGAUGCGGCGGCCGGACGCGCCGCUUCCACUCCGCCGCUGAGAGUGGUCUUCUUCAGCAACGCCCACAUGCUGUCGAAGCGAGCGAUUCGCCGCUUACUAGAUCAAUGGACCCGGAAUGGAGCGUCAGUGCGCAAGCUACGCCAGCAGCAGCAGCGCGCGCGGGCCGGGCCGCGCGAGUGGCGCACGCUCAUGGGUAGCCGCCUGCUUCUUCCGCUUGAUGCCGCGGCCAUCCUGCCCCACGUCCGAAGUCUCUCGACUCCCUUCGGCGACGUACAGGCCGUCUUUAUUGGUUACACGGCAAGCCAAGGCCCUGUCGAGGGGGCGAAGGUGAUGAAUCCGCCAUCUGAUGUGGGUAAGCAUGCGCCACUUCCUCUGCCGGUGUUACCAUCAUCAACAACGCCUGUAGGCUUCCCCGUGCGCGUCGAGCUUGCGGUGAGCGCGAGCGCGCAUUCGGACUUGCUUCAUGUCGAGGAACCCCUCUCCGCUGCUCUGCUCCGUGCAUCCACCCUCUAUCGCAGGUGCCUCGACGCAGCACAGCGUCGUGAGUUGGUGGAGGCGGUGGUGCAGAGCACUGUGGAUGGCGCGCCAGCGGGAGCCGUCUUCGCAAAGCGGGAGUCACAGCGACUCUCUAGUGGUCGCAUUUUAUCCGAAACCAGUAAAGUGCCCCUAACUAGCACUCAAGGUCGCCUGCAGCUGCACGAGGCGUGCGAGGCUGCGCUGUCGCUCUUAUCCCCACUGGAAGGCUUCCUGCACCCACACCUCGGCACUGAGGGAACUGGCGGCAACCGUCCUGCGAGGGACGACGACGUCGUGUCGCUGCUUGUCAUGUACCCACUCUUGAGCACCGUGCGCAUUCGCCACGUACUGCUAAGCGCUUUUCACGUACGUGUCACGCCGACCUCCACCGCAGGUGAUGAGGCUCCAUCGACUGUGGCUGCUGCUGCUGCUGCUGUCGAUGGCCCCGUCGCAGCUGGGGAGAUGGUGUGUGUGCGCGUCGGCAGCGACAGUGGCCCUGCCGGUGCCGCAACGGCGCCUCCCUCCAACCCCCGCGUCCGCUUUGUCGCGUCGCGCCGGCGCGCCAAUGAGAAUGAGCAGCGGGAGUUUCAUGCCCUGCUGCAGGCGGCGAAGGUGCGUGCCGCGGCGGAGGCCUCAGUGACGGCGACCCCUUCCUGUGUGCCGCGCGCACCGCUUCUUUUUCAAGCGUAUGCCGCUCACGUGGAGCCUCCGGUGCUGCUGGGGUUGUGGACGCCGACGCUGCUCUUCCGGGCCCCGACUUUGGCGGAUAUGAUGGCGUUGCGCUGCUUCUUGUUAGAGCCACUCCGCGCCAGCUACGCAGCCUCGCACCGAACUCCUACAGAUGCGCUGCAUCGCGCCGGCUUCGCGGACGGCGGCGGUGGCGGUGACAUGAUCGCGCUUCGAGUGGAUGAUGUGGACGUCAUUCACUUUGACUACGCCGACAGGGCAACGCGCCACAGGCGCACCCACCGCCUGUUUGGUGUCCGGGCAUCCUUGUGCCCCGCAUCUGCAGCUACACCGCCCCCGCGAACAGGAGCCGGCGCGGUGGGCGAGGAGAGUCUGCGGGACGCGAGCGGCCGCAACCCCAUCGCGCGCGAGCUGGCACUGUUGGAGACGCUGCUGCAGCAGUGUCUCAAGGAAUGUGCGCGGACAGCGGCGUUUUUCCCGCUGUGGACGGAGCACCGCCGCUACGACGACGCCGCUCCCUGUGCUACCACGCACCAAAGCAGCGUGGCGGGCCCCAUGACGAACCAUGGCGAUGGUGGCCCCGCAGGGCUCAACUUGCUGCCCUUCCCGUUCUUUCCCUCCAGCACCAAUCACCGUCCCUUCCUCGACUUUCCUGGCGUGAUGGAGUCGUUGGCGUCGUGGGCACCACGAUCGACAGAGCUGCGCCUUUUGAGCUUGGCUGCGGCACAACGGCCUUCCCUCUCCCUGACGAUCCGCAGUCGAGUGGUGCUGCUGGAGUCGGUGUACGUGCCGGAAAGCGACGAGGUGGACGCACCGGACGACGAUGCCGAGAAGGUUGCAGCAAGGAGCGGGAGAAAGGGCCCAAACCGCGUGGUUGUUCGACGCGGGCAGGUGUGCGAGGUGGCCGGCUUUGUUCCCUGCGGCCUUCUCCUUGGCUGUGGAGCGGCGUCAACGGCGUCGGAGGGCGCCGGGGGAUCCAGGAGCCGCGACGAGAGCGCUACGCGUCGGAUGUCUCUUCCACCCCUCGUGCGGCAGCAGGUGGCUGGUUGGUCCCUCACUGAGCGGCGACUGAUAGAGCACUACAUGGCACAGCAGCGGCACGCAUCGGCCUUGCCGUUGCUGCGCUGUUGCGCCGCUUCCCAGCGCAGCUGGGAAGAUCACCUGAGACAGCCGGGCACCAGCCUUUUCGUGCUUGCUCCACGCUGCACCGUUGUCGGCGGCUACCGCUCCCUUCACUACUACGGCCUGCCGCUGCUUCACCUGCCAUUGCUCAUCUUGGCUGGCGACUUAGCCCGCUCUCAGCCUUCCCACUCGGCCGUGAGCCCCUCCAAGCUGAGCAAGACCGCCCUAGGGUCUUGCAUAGCGUCGCGCGCGUCUGCCUCGGACAGCGAUAUUGGCGUACCGCCAGCACUUCUCACCGCCACCUCGCCCUCGGCCUCCUUCGACUAUGCCCUGCCUCAUCUCUUUCACCCGCAUCACGCCGACCCGGCCAGCUGCAGGGCAACUCUGUGCUUGACAUCACAGGAGCGACAGCAGGCCCUCGAUCUACUCUUCGCACAACUGCGCAGCGCCACUGCCACGGUCAGUGAUGGCCCGAAAGCGGCUUGUGGAAACGACACCUCACCACGCUCUCCUAUAUCCUUUGUGGAGGACAUUCUCUUUUCUGAAAUGCCUGAUGGCACUCGCAACGGGAAACCCGCGGAUGCUGUUACUGCAGGUGACCGUAACAGCAGUGAUGCGCACGCGGUGUUCACGCCACCAGUGUGCUGUCCGCUGCUGACCGAACUGGCCCUCUACUCGCGCGUGCGGUAGACCAUCUCCAGCCCGUGCAUGAGGGCCUCGACAACGCCGCGCUCGUUUCUAAGCGGCACACAUGCGCGUGCGCUGAGAGGUAGUAGAGUACUGAAAAGGAGGAAAAAUGAGCGUAGUCUUCAUCGAUUCAGCUAUCCAUUGGAGAUCUCAGCGUGCAAAUACAUGCGCGUGCGUGCUCCUCACCACGCCGUGGCCUCCUUCCUUUUUUUUUCGGCGGGUGGGGAGAAGGGGGGCUGUAACGGGAACCGCCGUGCACUUGAUAAGUGUCCUCCACUUUGUUGUUGACUGGAUUGCUUCCCCACGUGCACGCCUCCCUCCUCUUCCCAUUUCUCCCUCUGUUCUUCUCUGCUCCCAUCGCUGAAGGGACACGGAGCGCAUCUGCUCCUCUUGAUCUGCUGCCGCUGCUGCUCUUCUUUUUUUUUUUGGAUGGGGUGGCGGAGAAGGGGGCGCUCUCCUCUUUUUUUUUUGUGGGCGCUCUCGUUGUGGACUUCAGGCCGCCUCGCCCCGACCCCGCCCCGCUUUUGGCUUGUCU
RNAcentral lists this unclassified non-coding RNA (5465 nucleotides) under Leishmania donovani. Its description in RNAcentral is "gene:LdHU3.19.0320(CDS-product:hypothetical_prote in_conserved)". Lineage: Eukaryota; Euglenozoa; Kinetoplastea; Trypanosomatida; Trypanosomatidae. The record is from RNAcentral.